This 440-nucleotide ribosomal RNA is filed under the name uncultured bacterium. Its description in RNAcentral is "partial 16S ribosomal RNA". It matches the Rfam family "Bacterial small subunit ribosomal RNA", at positions 338 to 795 of the family's 1533-position model. The record is from RNAcentral.
CCUACGGGAGGCAGCAGUGGGGAAUAUUGCACAAUGGGGGAAACCCUGAUGCAGCAACGCCGCGUGAGUGAUGAAGGCCUUCGGGUUGUAAAGCUCUGUCUUCAGGGACGAUAAUGACGGUACCUGAGGAGGAAGCCCCGGCUAACUACGUGCCAGCAGCCGCGGUAAUACGUAGGGGGCGAGCGUUGUCCGGAUUUACUGGGCGUAAAGGGAGCGUAGGCGGACUUUUAAGUGAGAUGUGAAAUACUCGGGCUCAACUUAAGUGCUGCAUUUCAAACUGGAAGUCUAGAGUGCAGGAGAGGAGAAUGGAAUUCCUAGUGUAGCGGUGAAAUGCGUAGAGAUUAGGAAGAACACCAGUGGCGAAGGCAGCCUACUAAACUGCCACUGACAUUGAUGCUCGAAAGUGUGGGUAGCAAACAGGAUUAGAUACCCGGGUAGUC